Molecule: ribosomal RNA, 494 nt
Filed under: uncultured bacterium
Lineage: Bacteria
Description: partial 16S ribosomal RNA
Rfam family: Bacterial small subunit ribosomal RNA
Source: RNAcentral
GAUGAACGCUGGCGGCGUGCCUAAUACAUGCAAGUCGAGCGAACAGAUGAGGAGCUUGCUCCUCUGACGUUAGCGGCGGACGGGUGAGUAACACGUGGAUAACCUACCUAUAAGACUGGGAUAACUUCGGGAAACCGGAGCUAAUACCGGAUAAUAUAUUGAACCGCAUGGUUCAAUAGUGAAAGACGGUUUUGCUUGCACUUAUAGAUGGAUCCGCGCCGCAUUAGCUAGUUGGUAAGGUAACGGCUUACCAAGGCAACGAUGCGUAGCCGACCUGAGAGGGUGCGCCCCCAAAGGAGCGCAGACACAGGGUCCACACCCCUGGGAGCGACAGGAAGGGAAAAUCUUCCGAAGUGCGCAAACCCGAAAGGGAAACGCGCCGCGUGAGAUAAGAGUUUCCGGAUAUCAAAACCCUCUUUUAUUAGGAAAAAAAAUGUGGAAAAAAAACUACGCGCCUGGUGGGGAUACAUAAACAGAACCCCGCCGCUCACCGC